CUUUAAACGAAUUGUUAAGAACACCAAAAUGAAUGUCAACAUUGUAGGAGGAAUAGCUGCUGGAGUCACUGCCAUUGAGUUGGCUGCGAUGGGAGUGGCUAUGUAUCUCUAUUGCUACCUGGACAAAAAAGAAACCUGAAAGUCUUACUAAAAUUAUGAAUGCAUUUUUUUGUUUAUGAUUCAAAGUAGGGAAGCGAUACUGUAGAUGUUAUGAAAUUAAUUGUUGAUUAGAUGAAAAGAUUUAAUUUGUACGAUUUUAACAAGGCAAAGUGGAUGAUAAAAUUGUUAUUUGAUUUUGAAAAGGGAUGUGAUGUAAAAAAAAAUAAUUAUUUUCUUUCUGUGUAUGCAAUGCAAUGCCUCAAUUCUUUUUAUAACCAUAAAUCCAGUUCAUUUGCAUUGAGAUACAAUAAUUGUUUUGCACUGAAACGCUUCAUCCCACACAAGCUGUUCUUAUACAU
Non-coding RNA from Danio rerio (zebrafish), 458 nucleotides. The record is from RefSeq and is a predicted model, not a curated record. NCBI's taxonomy places the organism in Eukaryota, Metazoa, Chordata, Actinopteri, Cypriniformes, Danionidae.